RNAcentral lists this unclassified non-coding RNA (358 nucleotides) under soil metagenome. RNAcentral describes it as "partial contains 5.8S ribosomal RNA, internal transcribed spacer 2, and large subunit ribosomal RNA". The stretch from base 1 to 120 matches the Rfam family "5.8S ribosomal RNA", at positions 35 to 154 of the family's 154-position model. The record is from RNAcentral.
GAUGAAGAACGCAGCGAAAUGCGAUAAGUAAUGUGAAUUGCAGAAUUCAGUGAAUCAUCGAAUCUUUGAACGCACAUUGCGCCCGUCAGUAUUCUGGCGGGCAUGCCUGUUCGAGCGUCAUUACGCCCCUCAAGUCCCCUGUGGACUUGGUGUUGGGGAUCAGCGAGGCUGGUUUUCCAGCACAGCCGUCCCUUAAAUUAAUUGGCGGUCUCGCCGUGGCCCUCCUCUGCGCAGUAGUAAAACACUCGCAACAGGAGCCCGGCGCGGUCCACUGCCGUAAAACCCCCCAACUUUUUAUAGUUGACCUCGAAUCAGGUAGGACUACCCGCUGAACUUAAGCAUAUCAAUAAGCGGAGGA